AUACGGAGGGUGCGAACGUUAUCCGGAUUUAUUAGGUUUAAAGGGUGUGUAGGCGGGAGCCUAAGUCAGUGGUGAAAUCUCACAGCUUAACUGUGAAACUGCCAUUGAAACUGGGUUUCUUGAGUAUAGUUGAGGUAGGCGGAAUAUGUAAUGUAGCGGUGAAAUGCAUAGAUAUUACACAGAACACCGAUUGCGAAGGCAGCUUACUAAGCUAUUACUGACGCUGAUGCACGAAAGCGUGGGUAGCGAACAGGAUUAGAAACCCGGGUAGUCC
RNAcentral lists this ribosomal RNA (274 nucleotides) under uncultured bacterium. RNAcentral's name for it is "partial 16S ribosomal RNA". It matches the Rfam family "Bacterial small subunit ribosomal RNA", at positions 523 to 796 of the family's 1533-position model. The record is from RNAcentral.